RNAcentral lists this ribosomal RNA (279 nucleotides) under Triticum aestivum (bread wheat). RNAcentral's name for it is "partial small subunit ribosomal RNA". The record is from RNAcentral. Lineage: Eukaryota; Viridiplantae; Streptophyta; Magnoliopsida; Poales; Poaceae.
AUGUUAAAUUCCCAAGUAGUUGCUCCCACAAACUCAUAUUUGGGACAUCGUAAAGCUGUAAUCAUCCAUAGAGAAAAUAAUAGGCGAUUUAUUGCUAUGUGCUUGAACUUGGUUCACUGGCACAAAUUUUUAUUAAGUUUACAUUUAUUUCCAGAAAAACAACAGAGCCUUUUGUCCCAAGCACAUUGGGGCAGGCUAGAGAUGAAACCCCACAAAAACUGUGAGAACCCAAAAGAGAAGACAGAAAGUGCAAACAAGCAAAAUAAAUCAAGGCAGUAA